RNAcentral lists this ribosomal RNA (2871 nucleotides) under Salmonella enterica subsp. enterica serovar Typhimurium. RNAcentral describes it as "partial 23S ribosomal RNA". It matches the Rfam family "Bacterial large subunit ribosomal RNA". Lineage: Bacteria; Pseudomonadati; Pseudomonadota; Gammaproteobacteria; Enterobacterales; Enterobacteriaceae. The record is from RNAcentral.
GGGUUGUGAGGUUAAGCGACUAAGCGUACACGGUGGAUGCCCUGGCAGUCAGAGGCGAUGAAGGACGUGCUAAUCUGCGAUAAGCGCCGGUAAGGUGAUAUGAACCGUUAUAACCGGCGAUUUCCGAAUGGGGAAACCCAGUGUGAUUCGUCACACUAUCAUUAACUGAAUCCAUAGGUUAAUGAGGCGAACCGGGGGAACUGAAACAUCUAAGUACCCCGAGGAAAAGAAAUCAACCGAGAUUCCCCCAGUAGCGGCGAGCGAACGGGGAGGAGCCCAGAGCCUGAAUCAGCAUGUGUGUUAGUGGAAGCGUCUGGAAAGGCGCGCGAUACAGGGUGACAGCCCCGUACACAAAAGCGCAUGUGCUGUGAGCUCGAUGAGUAGGGCGGGACACGUGGUAUCCUGUCUGAAUAUGGGGGGACCAUCCUCCAAGGCUAAAUACUCCUGACUGACCGAUAGUGAACCAGUACCGUGAGGGAAAGGCGAAAAGAACCCCGGCGAGGGGAGUGAAAAAGAACCUGAAACCGUGUACGUACAAGCAGUGGGAGCACCCUUCGGGGUGUGACUGCGUACCUUUUGUAUAAUGGGUCAGCGACUUAUAUUCUGUAGCAAGGUUAACCGUAUAGGGGAGCCGGAGGGAAACCGAGUCUUAACCGGGCGUUAAGUUGCAGGGUAUAGACCCGAAACCCGGUGAUCUAGCCAUGGGCAGGUUGAAGGUUGGGUAACACUAACUGGAGGACCGAACCGACUAAUGUUGAAAAAUUAGCGGAUGACCUGUGGCUGGGGGUGAAAGGCCAAUCAAACCGGGAGAUAGCUGGUUCUCCCCGAAAGCUAUUUAGGUAGCGCCUCGUGAAUUCAUCUCCGGGGGUAGAGCACUGUUUCGGCUAGGGGGCCAUCCCGGCUUACCAACCCGAUGCAAACUGCGAAUACCGGAGAAUGUUAUCACGGGAGACACACGGCGGGUGCUAACGUCCGUCGUGAAGAGGGAAACAACCCAGACCGCCAGCUAAGGUCCCAAAGUCAUGGUUAAGUGGGAAACGAUGUGGGAAGGCCCAGACAGCCAGGAUGUUGGCUUAGAAGCAGCCAUCAUUUAAAGAAAGCGUAAUAGCUCACUGGUCGAGUCGGCCUGCGCGGAAGAUGUAACGGGGCUAAACCAUGCACCGAAGCUGCGGCAGCGAACGUAUCACCCAAGACAACUUUACGGAGUUGACGAUUGACGGAGCGAAGCGACGUCAAAGCGUUCAUUAAAGUCGAGUUGGCUUAGGGAUACGUUCGUUGGGUAGGGGAGCGUUCUGUAAGCCUGUGAAGGUGUGUCGUGAGGCAUGCUGGAGGUAUCAGAAGUGCGAAUGCUGACAUAAGUAACGAUAAAGCGGGUGAAAAGCCCGCUCGCCGGAAGACCAAGGGUUCCUGUCCAACGUUAAUCGGGGCAGGGUGAGUCGACCCCUAAGGCGAGGCCGAAAGGCGUAGUCGAUGGGAAACGGGUUAAUAUUCCCGUACUUGGUGUUACUGCGAAGGGGGGACGGAGAAGGCUAUGUUGGCCGGGCGACGGUUGUCCCGGUUUAAGCGUGUAGGUGUGUGUUCCAGGUAAAUCCGGUUCACUUUAACACUGAGGCGUGACGACGAGGCACUACGGUGCUGAAGCAACAAAUGCCCUGCUUCCAGGAAAAGCCUCUAAGCAUCAGGUAACAUCAAAUCGUACCCCAAACCGACACAGGUGGUCAGGUAGAGAAUACCAAGGCGCUUGAGAGAACUCGGGUGAAGGAACUAGGCAAAAUGGUGCCGUAACUUCGGGAGAAGGCACGCUGACACGUAGGUGAAGUGAUUUACUCAUGGAGCUGAAGUCAGUCGAAGAUACCAGCUGGCUGCAACUGUUUAUUAAAAACACAGCACUGUGCAAACACGAAAGUGGACGUAUACGGUGUGACGCCUGCCCGGUGCCGGAAGGUUAAUUGAUGGGGUCAGCGCAAGCGAAGCUCCUGAUCGAAGCCCCGGUAAACGGCGGCCGUAACUAUAACGGUCCUAAGGUAGCGAAAUUCCUUGUCGGGUAAGUUCCGACCUGCACGAAUGGCGUAAUGAUGGCCAGGCUGUCUCCACCCGAGACUCAGUGAAAUUGAACUCGCUGUGAAGAUGCAGUGUACCCGCGGCAAGACGGAAAGACCCCGUGAACCUUUACUAUAGCUUGACACUGAACAUUGAGCCUUGAUGUGUAGGAUAGGUGGGAGGCUUUGAAGUGUGGACGCCAGUCUGCAUGGAGCCGACCUUGAAAUACCACCCUUUAAUGUUUGAUGUUCUAACGUGGACCCGUAAUCCGGGUUGCGGACAGUGUCUGGUGGGUAGUUUGACUGGGGCGGUCUCCUCCUAAAGAGUAACGGAGGAGCACGAAGGUUGGCUAAUCCUGGUCGGACAUCAGGAGGUUAGUGCAAUGGCAUAAGCCAGCUUGACUGCGAGCGUGACGGCGCGAGCAGGUGCGAAAGCAGGUCAUAGUGAUCCGGUGGUUCUGAAUGGAAGGGCCAUCGCUCAACGGAUAAAAGGUACUCCGGGGAUAACAGGCUGAUACCGCCCAAGAGUUCAUAUCGACGGCGGUGUUUGGCACCUCGAUGUCGGCUCAUCACAUCCUGGGGCUGAAGUAGGUCCCAAGGGUAUGGCUGUUCGCCAUUUAAAGUGGUACGCGAGCUGGGUUUAGAACGUCGUGAGACAGUUCGGUCCCUAUCUGCCGUGGGCGCUGGAGAACUGAGGGGGGCUGCUCCUAGUACGAGAGGACCGGAGUGGACGCAUCACUGGUGUUCGGGUUGUCAUGCCAAUGGCACUGCCCGGUAGCUAAAUGCGGAAGAGAUAAGUGCUGAAAGCAUCUAAGCACGAAACUUGCCCCGA